RNAcentral lists this ribosomal RNA (85 nucleotides) under Marinifilum sp. N1E240. The record is from RNAcentral. Lineage: Bacteria; Pseudomonadati; Bacteroidota; Bacteroidia; Marinilabiliales; Marinifilaceae.
ACCUCUUCCCAUUCCGAACAGAGAAGUUAAGCCCGUUAGCGCCGAUGGUACUGCAGAAAUGUGGGAGAGUAGGUCGACGCCAACC